GAUGAACGCUGGCGGCGUGACUAAUACAUGCAAGUCGAGCGAACAGACGAGGAGCUUGCUCCUCUGACGUUAGCGGCGGACGGGUGAGUAACACGUGGAUAACCUACCUAUAAGACUGGGAUAACUUCGGGAAACCGGAGCUAAUACCGGAUAAUAUAUUGAACCGCAUGGUUCAAUAGUGAAAGACGGUUUUGCUGUCACUUAUAGAUAGAUCCGCGCCGCAUUAGCUAGUUGGUAAGGUAACGGCUUACCAAGGCGACGAUGCGUAGCCGACCUGAGAGGGUGAUCGGCCACACUGGAACUGAGACACGGUCCAGACUCCUACGGGAGGCAGCAGUAGGGAAUCUUCCGCAAUGGGCGAAAGCCUGACGGAGCAACGCCGCGUGAGUGAUGAAGGUCUUCGGAUCGUAAAACUCUGUUAUUAGGGAAGAACAAAUGUGUAAGUAACUAUGCACGUCUUGACGGUACCUAAUCAGAAAGCCACGGCUAACUACGUG
RNAcentral lists this ribosomal RNA (497 nucleotides) under uncultured bacterium. Its description in RNAcentral is "partial 16S ribosomal RNA". It matches the Rfam family "Bacterial small subunit ribosomal RNA", at positions 28 to 507 of the family's 1533-position model. The record is from RNAcentral.